RNAcentral lists this ribosomal RNA (246 nucleotides) under Glomus sp. Its description in RNAcentral is "partial small subunit ribosomal RNA". Lineage: Eukaryota; Fungi; Glomeromycota; Glomeromycetes; Glomerales; Glomeraceae. The record is from RNAcentral.
AUUAAAUGACCUGCGGAAUGUAGCUUCGAUCUCGGUUGAAGUGUUAUAGACUCUGGUAGAUGUGGUGAUCGGGACUGAGGAUUGCAACGAAUAUCCUUUGGGCUAUCCGUCUGACCUCUGAAAGUUGCUCAGGUGCCGAAAGCGUGCUUACGGUUAUCUAAGUUGACGGUCAAUAGGUUAGAACGUGAUUAACAUUCGUUAAGGACGUUGGCGUAAUGGCUUUAAACGACCCGUCUUGAAACACGG